This 492-nucleotide ribosomal RNA is filed under the name uncultured bacterium. RNAcentral's name for it is "partial 16S ribosomal RNA". It matches the Rfam family "Bacterial small subunit ribosomal RNA", at positions 29 to 507 of the family's 1533-position model. The record is from RNAcentral.
AGUGAACGCUGGCGGUAGGCCUAACACAUGCAAGUCGAACGGAAGCACAGUAAGAGCUUGCUCUUACGGGUGGCGAGUGGCGGACGGGUGAGGAAUACAUCGGAAUCUACUUUUUCGUGGGGGAUAACGUAGGGAAACUUACGCUAAUACAGCAUAUGACCUACGGGUGAAAGCAGGGGAGCUUCGGACCUUGCGCGAUUGAAUGAGACGAUGUCGGAUUAGCUAGUUGGCGGGGUAAAGACCCACCAAGGCGACGAUCCGUAGCUGGGCUGAGAGGAUGUUCAGCCACACUGGAACUGAGACACGGUCCAGACUCCUACGGGAGGCAGCAGUGGAGAAUAUUGGACAAUGGGCGCAAGCCUGAUCCAGCCAUACCGCGUGUGUGAAGAGAGCCUUCGGGUUGUAAAACCCUUUUGUUGGGAAAGAAAAGCAGCAGGUUAAUACCCCGCUGUUCUGACGGUACCCAAAGAAUAAGCACCGGCUAACUUCGUG